AGAGUUGAUCAUGGCUCAGGAUGAACGCUAGCGACAGGCUUAACACAUGCAAGUCGAGGGGCAGCAGUAAAAGUAGCAAUACGUUGGUGGCGACCGGCGCACGGGUGAGUAACGCGUAUGCAACCUACCUAUCAGGAGGGGAAUAACCCGGCGAAAGUCGGACUAAUACCGCAUAAAACAGGGGCACCGCAUGGUGAUAUUUGUUAAAGAAAUUCGCUGAUAGAUGGGCAUGCGUUCCAUUAGGUAGUUGGUGAGGUAACGGCUCACCAAGCCGACGAUGGAUAGGGGAACUGAGAGGUUGGUCCCCCACACUGGUACUGAGACACGGACCAGACUCCUACGGGAGGCAGCAGUGAGGAAUAUUGGUCAAUGGGCGGGAGCCUGAACCAGCCAAGUCGCGUGAAGGAAGAAGGAUCUAUGGUUCGUAAACUUCUUUUGCAGGGGAAUAAAGUGCAGGACGUGUCCUGUUUUGUAUGUACCCUGAGAAUAAGGAUCGGCUAACUCCGUGCCAGCCGCAGC
RNAcentral lists this ribosomal RNA (519 nucleotides) under uncultured bacterium. Its description in RNAcentral is "bacterial SSU rRNA". It matches the Rfam family "Bacterial small subunit ribosomal RNA", at positions 8 to 518 of the family's 1533-position model. The record is from RNAcentral.